UAGGGAAUCUUCGGCAAUGGACGAACGUCUGACCGAGCAACGCCGCGUGAGUGAAGAAGGUUUUCGGAUCGUAAAACUCUGUUGUUAGAGAAGAACAAGGACGUUAGUAACUGAACGUCCCCUGACGGUAUCUAACCAGAAAGCCACGGCUAACUACGUGCCAGCAGCCGCGGUAAUACGUAGGUGGCAAGCGUUGUCCGGAUUUAUUGGGCGUAAAGCGAGCGCAGGCGGUUUCUUAAGUCUGAUGUGAAAGCCCCCGGCUCAACCGGGGAGGGUCAUUGGAAACUGGGAGACUUGAGUGCAGAAGAGGAGAGUGGAAUUCCAUGUGUAGCGGUGAAAUGCGUAGAUAUAUGGAGGAACACCAGUGGCGAAGGCGGCUCUCUGGUCUGUAACUGACGCUGAGGCGCGAAAGCGUGGGGAGCAAACAGG
RNAcentral lists this ribosomal RNA (429 nucleotides) under Gemmatimonadota bacterium. RNAcentral's name for it is "Gemmatimonadetes bacterium partial 16S ribosomal RNA". It matches the Rfam family "Bacterial small subunit ribosomal RNA", at positions 355 to 776 of the family's 1533-position model. The record is from RNAcentral. Lineage: Bacteria; Pseudomonadati; Gemmatimonadota.